This 253-nucleotide ribosomal RNA is filed under the name uncultured bacterium. RNAcentral describes it as "partial 16S ribosomal RNA". It matches the Rfam family "Bacterial small subunit ribosomal RNA", at positions 524 to 776 of the family's 1533-position model. The record is from RNAcentral.
UACGUAGGGGGCGAGCGUUGUCCGGAUUUAUUGGGCGUAAAGAGCGUGUAGGCGGCCAGGUAGGUCCGUUGUGAAAACUCGAGGCUCAACCUCGAGACGUCGAUGGAAACCAUCUGGCUAGAGUCCGGAAGAGGAGAGUGGAAUUCCUGGUGUAGCGGUGAAAUGCGCAGAUAUCAGGAGGAACACCGGUGGCGAAGGCGGGUCUCUGGGCCGAUACUGACGCUGAGGAGCGAAAGCAUGGGUAGCGAACAGG